RNAcentral lists this ribosomal RNA (635 nucleotides) under Jaaginema subtilissimum BDU 92183. RNAcentral's name for it is "bacterial SSU rRNA". It matches the Rfam family "Bacterial small subunit ribosomal RNA", at positions 126 to 797 of the family's 1533-position model. The record is from RNAcentral. Lineage: Bacteria; Bacillati; Cyanobacteriota; Cyanophyceae; Leptolyngbyales; Leptolyngbyaceae.
GUUUCAGAUGUACGUGUAUCACGGGUAACGGUGGCUAAUACCGGACGAGCCGAAAGGUAAAAGAUUUAUCGCCCUUCGAGGAGCUCGCGUCCGAUUAGCUAGUUGGUGAGGUAAAAGCUCACCAAGGCGCGAUCGGUAGCUGGUCUGAGAGGAUGAGCAUCCACACUGGGACUGAGACGCGGCCCAUACUCCUACGGGAGGCAGCAGUGGGGAAUUUUCCGCAAUGGGCGCAGGCCUGACGGAGCAGUACCGCGUGAGGGAGGAAGGCUCUUGGGUUGUAAACCUCUUUUCUCAGGGAAAAAGUUCUGACGGUACCUGAGGAAUAAGCAUCGGCUAACUCCGUGCCAGCAGCCGCGGUAAUACGGAGGAUGCAAGCGUUAUCCGGAAUUAUUGGGCGUAAAGCGUCCGCAGGUGGCAUUUCCAGUCUGCUGUCAAAGACCAAGGCUCAACCUUGGGCAGGCAGUGGAAACUGAAAAGCUAGAGUGCGGUAGGGGUAGGGGGAAUUCCCAGUGUAGCGGUGAAAUGCGUAGAGAUUGGGAAGAACACCGGUGGCGAAAGCGCCCUACUAGGCCGCAACUGACACUCAGGGACGAAAGCUAGGGUAGCGAAUGGGAUUAGAUACCCCCAGUAGUCCA